RNAcentral lists this long non-coding RNA (565 nucleotides) under Mus pahari (shrew mouse). RNAcentral's name for it is "lncRNA (MGP_PahariEiJ_G0002292.1)". The record is from RNAcentral. Lineage: Eukaryota; Metazoa; Chordata; Mammalia; Rodentia; Muridae.
UGCUGCUGCUGCAUCCGGUGCUUCUGCACCUCGGCGUACAAGCUGUCUCUUUGCUUCUUGGACAUCCGGCCAAACUUGACAGCUGGGAAGAGAGAAAGCACGGCAUACCUUGAACCAGGCAGAGUUAGCCUCCCUCAAGCUUUCAGGUUUCCAGAACUUCUCAGAGCAGGUCAGCAUAAAAGCAGGCCACCCACAAGGCAAGAACGACUUCCUCAAGCUUCCCCAGCGCCCUUGCAAACACACCCACCCCGUUCUCUACAGGUCGGCAGAUAGGUAUGUAAGGCACUCAAAAUCUGCUGUCGCUGUCCUCAUUGCUGCUUUGUGUGAUGACUGGGGUCUGCGUGGACCACGCCAAUAAGCCUGUUCUGCGUCCAUGGCUCUGAGGCCACCCCAUACAAGUGGUCACAACAGUGAUAGUGAAGAUGCUACGCAGACUCAAGGGACACUUUCGAGGUUACUUUUAAGUGCCUCCAAUCCUUGGAAUAUCCUAACAGGUGGGAAGGGCAGGUGUCACGACUACUUUAUGGAUGAAGUCGAGGGAUUAAAAGGCUGAGAUGUGGGCAGG